ACCUUUCAAGUGAGUGGCGAACGGGUGAGUAACACGUGGAUAACCUACCUCAAGGGUUGGGGAUAACAUUUGGAAACAGAUGCUAAUACCGAAUAAAACUUAGUAUCGCAUGAUACCAGGUUAAAAGGCGCUACGGCGUCACCUAGAGAUGGAUCCGCGGUGCAUUAGUUAGUCGGUGGGGUAAAGGCUUACCAAGACAAUGAUGCAUAGCCGAGUUGAGAGACUGAUCGGCCACAUUGGGACUGAGACACGGCCCAAACUCCUACGGGAGGCUGCAGUAGGGAAUCUUCCACAAUGGGCGAAAGCCUGAUGGAGCAACGCCGCGUGUGUGAUGAAGGCUUUCGGGUCGUAAAGCACUGUUGUAUGGGAAGAACAGCUAGAGUAGGGAAUGACUUUAGUUUGACGGUACCAUACCAGAAAGGGACGGCUAAAUACGUGCCAGCAGCCGCGGUAAUACGUAUGUCCCGAGCGUUAUCCGGAUUUAUUGGGCGUAAAGCGAGCGCAGACGGUUAAUUAAGUCUGAUGUGAAAGCCCGGAGCUCAACUCCGGAAAGGCAUUGGAAACUGGUUAACUUGAGUGCAGUAGAGGUAAGUGGAACUCCAUGUGUAGCGGUGGAAUGCGUAGAUAUAUGGAAGAACACCAGCGGCGAAGGCGGCUUACUGGACUGUAACUGACGUUGAGGCUCGAAAGUGUG
RNAcentral lists this ribosomal RNA (694 nucleotides) under uncultured bacterium. RNAcentral describes it as "bacterial SSU rRNA". It matches the Rfam family "Bacterial small subunit ribosomal RNA", at positions 82 to 763 of the family's 1533-position model. The record is from RNAcentral.